RNAcentral lists this ribosomal RNA (873 nucleotides) under Cordyceps ninchukispora. RNAcentral describes it as "partial large subunit ribosomal RNA". It matches the Rfam family "Eukaryotic large subunit ribosomal RNA", at positions 55 to 961 of the family's 3401-position model. Lineage: Eukaryota; Fungi; Ascomycota; Sordariomycetes; Hypocreales; Cordycipitaceae. The record is from RNAcentral.
CGGGAAGUAUCAACAGGGAUUGCCCCAGUAACGGCGAGUGAAGCGGCAACAGCUCAAAUUUGAAAUCUGGCCCCCAGGGCCCGAGUUGUAAUUUGCAGAGGAUGCUUUGGGCGAGGUGCCUUCCGAGUUCCCUGGAACGGGACGCCAUAGAGGGUGAGAGCCCCGUCUGGUCGGACACCGAGCCUGUGUAAAGCUCCUUCGACGAGUCGAGUAGUUUGGGAAUGCUGCUCAAAAUGGGAGGUAUAUGUCUUCUAAAGCUAAAUAUUGGCCAGAGACCGAUAGCGCACAAGUAGAGUGAUCGAAAGAUGAAAAGCACUUUGAAAAGAGGGUUAAAAAGUACGUGAAAUUGUUGAAAGGGAAGCGCCUAUGACCAGACUUGGGCCCGGUGAAUCAUCCAGCGUUCUCGCUGGUGCACUUUGCCGGGCACAGGCCAGCAUCAGUUUGGCGCGGGGGACAAAGGCUUCGGGAAUGUAGCUCCCUCGGGAGUGUUAUAGCCCGCUGCGCAAUACCCUGCGCCGGACUGAGGUACGCGCAUCGCAAGGAUGCUGGCGUAAUGGUCAUCAGCGACCCGUCUUGAAACACGGACCAAGGAGUCGUCUUCGUAUGCGAGUGUUCGGGUGUCAAACCCCUACGCGUAAUGAAAGUGAACGCAGGUGAGAGCUUCGGCGCAUCAUCGACCGAUCCUGAUGUUCUCGGAUGGAUUUGAGUAAGAGCAUACGGGGCCGGACCCGAAAGAAGGUGAACUAUGCCUGUAUAGGGUGAAGCCAGAGGAAACUCUGGUGGAGGCUCGCAGCGGUUCUGACGUGCGAAUCGAUCGUCAAUAUGGGCAUGGGGGCGAAAGACUAAUCGAACCUUCUAGUAGCUGGUCUGCGU